Long non-coding RNA from Gallus gallus (chicken), 4967 nucleotides. RefSeq lists it as uncharacterized. The record is from RefSeq and is a predicted model, not a curated record. The transcript is spliced from 4 exons. NCBI's taxonomy places the organism in Eukaryota, Metazoa, Chordata, Aves, Galliformes, Phasianidae.
GCCGCUCCCGCCUGUAUAAGAGGAGUUGGCCCUACCGAACCCUGCGUGGGGGGAAGGAGAGGUUCCAUCUCACCGCGGUUUGGAGUGCAGCACUUACUUUCAAAACUACGGUGACUCUACGGAGUGUCGCUGUUCAGUUCUCACAGGACAGAUCAGAAACAAUGAUUAUGAUGGAAGCUAUUUCCCUUCAAGGAAUGCAGACUACUGAGGCUGAGUCCUUUCUUGUGGUGGGAGAGCAGCAGAUUCAGAAAGAUCCUACAUUCCUCUGAAAUUGAGCAUUUACUUGAGUUACAGCAUGGAACUGAAGGAUUUGGUUAUUGAGGACCGAGGCUUUUCAGUGUUUGUUCAUUUCCAUGCCAAGUCAUUGGAAACCAGCAUAUGGUUUAGCUUCAGAGCUUCAAACUUCUUUAUUUUUUCCCAAAUUGAAUAUCUACCUGCAGGUCAUAUUUUCUCUCUUUAACAUUCAAGCAGUUCUGUCAUAUCUUAGUUCUUUUACUGCAAAAAAAGAUGAAAAGUGCAUAUGCUUCUGUUUUUUUUGUUUUGUUUUGUUUUGUUUUUUAAUUUUUACAGAAUUUCUUCUUGAAUAUUUCUAUAGAGUGCCCAACUGAGGUAAUUUAACAUACUAUUGAACAGCUCUCAUGGAAGAAAAGUAGCUGUAUUCCACAGUUCCUCUGAAUCAAGAGAAGUGGUUCUUCUGUCAUGUAUGGUCCACUUGGUACAGGUUUGUGUUAAAUUUGUAAAGCACACAGCUAGGAAAGCCCAUGUACCAAGGAUGUGUGGUGAGCUAAGUUAGCUGUGUAAGAAAAAGUCCACUUAAGACGUAAACAUGAGAUAAGCCAAGGUGCUUAUUAAUCAAUUUAACUUUGUUCAUCCCUCGGCAUCAGAAUAGUUGAGCUCUUCAAACUCAGAGGAUUUCACUCUGUUUAACCACAGUUAUCAUGUGCUACAUGGCCAGAGAGGCAGUCACAUUAAGAAAAUGUCCCGUUGCAUAGCCUACAGUAGCCCUACCCAAUGCAGCAGGUCUCCAGUGUUCUUCAUAAAAAAUGGCUUUGGACAGUUUAUAACCAUUCUUAGAACACCUCUGAAAUAUCACUAUCGACAAAAUUCUUGACUUUUAAUUGUUUGAAACGUCUGUCUUGAGGCGAUCUUUCUAAAAAUGAGUUUGACUUUUCAAUGCAAGAAACAUUUUUAUGGUCUUAAAUAAAGCAAAAUAAAUAAGUCCUACAGCAUUGUCAGACAUGCUGUGUUCCACUUUCUGAACCCUGAAGUAAUGGCUCUGCAAAAGUAUAUGCAGAAGUCUACUAUUGACUGCAAAGACAUUCGGUACCAAAUGGCUGUGAAUUAAAGCAUCAUUUUCACUCUCAUACCAUCAUCAAAAUAAUACUAUAUUUGAACCUCUGAUUUGAUUGAUACACCUCAGCAGGAGGGCACUUAGACUUUUAUGUCAUAAAGUGAAAAUGAAGUACUUUAUGUCACUGAACACAGCAGCCUGGCAUGCAGUAGUUAAAAUUCAAUGAAGUUCCAAUCAAUCCUGCAGUUACUAAAUACCUAGAGUUUUGCAUUUCUUGCUCUUGAGAGGGUUUCCAGGAAAAUGUUGUAACGUUAAAAUGGUGACUAGUCAGUAUUUGUACUUUUAAGGCUCUGACGUUUCCCAUCUUGCAAUGCCCGCUAAAUAUAGGCAAGCAGCUGUACGAACAGCAGCUUGGAAUACAGGAUAUCCAACUCGCCCAAUCUGCAGGCUGAAAGCUGUAUUGUACAACCACAGUUACCACAGUGUUCCGGCAGAUAUAUUUUGUGCUUUGUUCAGGGCUCCGGUUUUAAAAAGUGUUUCCUAAAAAUUCUUUUACUAACAUCAUCUUUAUCUAAAAUGCAGUGAAUUCUUUCACUGAAAUUGUACUUGAAUUCUUCAGGUUUUGGGAAGGAAAUGUCGAUUAAGUGAGAAAAUAUUUAAUUAACAUAUCACCCUCUCAGUACUGGGGUAAGUCAUUGCUUGUUUUUUGGUGUGUGUGUGUGUGUGUUUUAAUGAAAAAAAAAAAAAAAAGGUUCUUUCAACUUUUUAUCUGAAGUGCCCAUCUUGACAAGUUCUUAACUUCAGUAUAUUGUGCCUCAUUAGUACUUUAAAACCUGCUGAAGCUAAACUGCAUCUUACUUGCCUAUUAGUUCAACCUUAGGCCCAUCAGUAGAGCAUUACCCAAUGUCUUGGGAACAAUUAAGGCAUGCCUUCCCUACCAAACAGUUUUUAAGUGGACAAAACAUAUUUAACAGUAGAAUUUGUGGCGCACAGAAUGGAAAUGCAAUGAAAACUACUGGGAAUAUGCAUUAAUCCUUCUGCUGAACAAGUUCCUAAUAACUCACUUGAAACUCCUGGGGAUAUAGUAUCAAGUAUGUACUCUCUAAAUGCUACUAAUGAAACAUUUACAGUCCACAGUGAUAAAAGGAAAAUGGAAGAGUCUGUGGCCAGUUAAAGGGCUACUUGAACGACAUGCAGAAUGCAAACUUCAGAUGUACAUGAUUAUUGAUCUUUUCAGCAAAAAGGCUUUAUGAAUAAUAUUCAUACCAUACCAUUAGAAGCUAAAGUAGACUGGGAAUUAAACAUCAGCAGGAGAGCAAUUGAUGGAUUUAGACAGGUCAGACAAUGUCAUUCUAAAAGCAGCUAAUCAAUAUGGACAAAUGUGUCAGAAAGGUGAUUUGAAAAAUGACUUUAUAAUAAGGGAGGGAAAAAAAAGCCAUGUUCUUUAGGUCCCCAGUUUUUCCUUCCUCAGAAUUAUAUACUUAUCAAAGCAAGGCUGCUAACAGUUUCACAUUUCCACAAGCAGCAAAAAGAAAUUAUGCUACAAAACUCAAGGGCAAAGCAAUGGUUUUCCCCCCACUGAAAACAAGUAAAUAGGCUGACAACUGGUGAAUUGUGCCCCACGUAGCUACUGUGGUGUCCCUGCUGUCCAAUUUCACAGCUGGGCCAUGCGUUAUCCCACCUCGUUUUGAAUCCUCUUUGAAGAAGCACGGGAAUCUGUGUAGCAUUUUGUUGAAAAGGGUUGCUCUGGCACUCCUGAGGAGGCAAAACCUUUCUGAGCUGGAUUCUUUUUGCAACAAAAGAGCUAUGAUGGCUUUAACUUGAUGGCUUAGGUAGCUUUCCAGCUGCUUUGUUCUCAUUCAAGUGCUGCAAAGUGGUCAGAGAGAUGGCACUUGAUUUCCAGCUGGACUUCUUCAGGAGUCGACUGCCAGCCAUUGGAUAUUGUUACGCUUUUGUCUGUCAGAUUAAAAAGUGCGCUACAUUAAAGCAUGAUGUUAUUUGCUCUUGCAGUUCACCGUAACCUACCAGCUGCCUGAACAGCACACUCUUAGCAGAGCCUGCUGAAUUCUCGACUCACUCACCUGAACUUCUCGCUGGCAUCUAUUCUUCCCAACCACGAAGAAAACCCAGUGGCUAAUGCCUAGGGCUCCAGGUUAACGGCCUACCAUGACAUGACGCCUGGGCAAACUGAAAUCACUUUGGCCAUCCUGAAUGUACUGUAUCACAUCUGAGAUGUUUUUCAUCGUGUUCCUUGAAGAAGAAAUACUAACUUGGGUAUCAUCAGAAAUGUCUUGGCAAAGUUUUUUAUUGCCCUUUGAGAACAUUCUCAUAUCAUGGCUGUGGAUGAAUGUGGUCAGGAUGAAUGAGGUCCCUUCUUGGACUGCAGAAGGGAGGACUCCUGGGGAACGUUGUCCACUGCCACCCUCUGGGACUUCCAGGGAGGAAUGAAUAGAGUCGUUGUAUUGCUGUACCAUCUGGAAGCAAUUGGAACAGGGUAAAUAAUGAGGAACAAUGAAACUGGCUUCAAUAGGCCUUGGUUUGUAUAGGUACUAGGUCAGUAGAUGGUGAAUACAUUUCAGUGUAAAAACUAACACACAGCCAAGGAGUACAGUUGAAGAUUGUUUACUAACUCAAACAUUUAUUUAGCACAGUGAUGAGGAAAAAAUUUUGCGAGUUGCAGUGGGGCAGUAAAGAAAGCUCAGCCAAGAAUUAAUGUAUGUGAAUGUUGAUGCCAUUGUAUUAAUAUGAAUGGGGAUUUGUUCAAAGCUGUCACACUCUUCUCUUAUGCCACCAAGUACAUGUUUAUGACUGAACUGCAUUCCUUUUUUGAGGGUGACUUAAUGAUAAAUGAAUUUUAAUACCAGGUAUUAAUAAUAUGUGCUAUGUAUAUGGGGUUUUUAUUGAUUUCUGGGCUAAAAUCUGGUAGAAUGAUCCUAGUUUUGCCUGAGUCAUUAAUAGUUCUGCUGCAAAUUUCUGAGGAAAUCAGAUUUUUCUGUGGAGAUCACACCAGUCAUGGGUGUCCAAUGUUUUGUUUGCCUGGGCCACACUGAGGGAAGAUAAAUUGUCUUGGGCUGCAUAUACAUAGAUAACUCCAAAAGUAAUGCAUACUAUUUAUUUUCAAGGAAAUGGAAACAGAUACAAAGAGCACAAUAACACUGUUUGAUUGAGCAAAUUCUCAGCUACAGAAUGCUAUUUUUCAACAUAGUCACCAUCACCAUCUAUGCACUUUUGACAGAGAUGAACAAGAGCCUGCAUGCUGUGCUUGUAAAAAUCUGUACCAGCACAGGUGACCCACUGUUUCUGUUGUCACACUGCUGAAAUGCACCACCCAUCACCUCUCUGUGCUCCCAUCCGCUGUUUGGUCUCUACAAACGUGCAGCAAGCAUCAGUGAAUGUCAGUGGGUGCCAUUUUUUUCUGUAUGGAGGAAUUCAGUGACACACCUUUGUUUCAUAUGCACUUUCAUGUCAGAUGCCAAUUUGUCGCACAGUCCUGCUGCCACCUGUCACAGGACAACAAAAUGUAAUGAAAUAUUUGUGGCAGGGUUUAACCAUAUGAUCAACAUCAGCCUCUGAUACUGUGGGCCAACAUAAUAAAACAGCAGGCAUUAUUUUUGGAGCAGCUCUCAUUAAGUAUAUAAUAUAUUUAAUGUAUAUAAAGAAACAAAGCUUACUUUAG